RNAcentral lists this long non-coding RNA (2397 nucleotides) under Brachypodium distachyon (stiff brome). RNAcentral describes it as "long non-coding RNA (BDIS_LNC005725)". The record is from RNAcentral. Lineage: Eukaryota; Viridiplantae; Streptophyta; Magnoliopsida; Poales; Poaceae.
CUUCCAUGUUGUAUUCAUAACAUGACUUGAUUGCUAUUUAUCCACUGCCGUGUAUGUAUGAACAUUUUGAUGUCUGAUGUUGCUUAGCUUACUAAUUAUAGCUGCUUAGCUAAUUGCCAUGUUGAAUCAUGUGAUGUUGCAUGGUUUGAUCUGUACUUUACAAUCAUGAGUGCUAGUUUGUUAGAAGAACAUUUUAGGACCUUGUGUUAUAUGCUUGCUAGCAUGCUUACAUGUUUUGCUUAGAUACUAUGUAUCUAUCAGUUGUUUGUUACAUGCUUAUACUAGGUUGUCUUCACAUGCUUAUGCUUACUUGUUGAAACAUAUGUUUUUCUAAAUGUUAUGCUAUGCUUGUAUGGUUAUUGUCCAUAUGUCUUUGUCAUUCUAAGCAUCUGGUAGUUAUAUUGUUGUUAUUGCAUUUCGUUGUACCUCUUGUGUAAGUUGUACAUUGUCUCGAUGCAUAUGUGUUCCAUAAUCUUGUGGUGCAUGAUUUGCUUUGUGUAGUAGCAUAUAGUAACAAGCAUCUCAUGUGUGUUUAUUAAGAUCAUGCCAUCAGUAUAAAUUUUUGCUUGUUUUACUAGUAUAGAAUCAUGAAUGACUUGUUUAUUAGUCUUUUAUCUGAUGAGAUUAUAAAUCAUGUGCUUUGUCUUAGCUGUAUAGAAUUGUGCUUGCAUGCUUAGAUAGUCUCCUAUGGGUUUGUCUUUACCUUAUAGUUGUUUAUCGAUGGUUUAUUACUAUCCUUGAGAGAAUUCAUGCUUUGUUUCUCAAUAAUUGUUGCCUUGUAUAAGUCCAUAAUUGUUUUUAUAGCUUUAUCUUGCAUAGAUAUCUAUCUUAACAUUUGUCAGGCUCUUAUCCUUGUUAUGAUUGUUAGAUUCAUUAUGCUUUUUGUUUGUAUCACUAGUAUGAUAGGAGUUGUUUGAUGCUUGCAAACUAGCAUGAUAAGGUGUAUUGUUUUGUGACUGUUUAGAUUUAUGCUUGAGCUAUAUGAUUAGUAGCACUGUGACUAUUUGGUGUAGUAUAAUAUUUUAUAAAGGGUAUGACCAAUCAAGCUAUAUUCCUCAUUCUGGGAAUGUAGUUUACUUUGUUAGAAUCAAUCUCAUUGUUCCAUCUUAUCAAAGUUGUUCCUAUCAUUUCCAAGUUUCCAAACCUAUUUUGAGCCGCCUUGUCUAUUCACUCUCCUAUUUGCAUUUCAUUUGGUUUUAUUGUUUUUUUAUUUAUUUUGUUUGUUCUGGUUACCGCUACGACGAGUAGAGAGUGACGAGGGGAACUAGGACAAGAAUCUGAAGCUGAAGAAGAAGAAUUCAUCAACGGAGGCCCUCUCUUUGAUCAUAUUUAUCCUAUGUUUUCAAAUGGGCAUUAGUUAGUUAUUUUAUUGUUUUAUAAACAUGCAUGCUAUUUUAUUCCUGUAGCUAGUGUGUCGAUUGACACUUUGCCAUGAUCUGCUUGUCGCCAUUCCUUUGAUACCUGGAAUAGUUUUAUAUAGUAAUUGUAGAGUAGAAAUGCUUAGCCAUGCUCAUAUUAUUCACUAGGAAGUCUCUUCAAGGAUUCUAAGUGAUCUUCGGAUCGAUGAUACCAUUACUGAAAGUUGUUGAGCUUGCCGAGCUAGGCGUAGUCCCUCUUCUUGGAAUCCCUUUCUACUCUCUCUACCUACUCUGGGUGAAACUUACCAUACAACUGUUGCGGGCGGCAGCUGGAUCAGUGGUUGAAGGAGCAAUUGCUAGCCUGUGUGGGAGCAAUUAGCCGCCUGUAGCGGAUGAGGCCUAAUAAGUCUUGAAUCCGAAGAUUGUGACAACAGUGCGACCACAUGCUAUAUGGGCUCUGGCUUGGUCAAGUAAGCUAGUCAGCCUUAGGUGCCGAUGAUGCCGUACCGCAAAUGGGGUGUCACCUGUGAUGGGAGAACCCUCGGCACAGAUGGGGGGGACCGGAGAUGGGGACGUACUCUCAUUCCGUGCGCUAGACCCGGUGGGCUCGUCACAUCUUUGGGGGAGGUAGCUAAAAUACCUCGUCAUGGUCUCGCUGUCGAUACACUGAGGGCUGUGUUCACCAUUAGCGCAACUGGUUAGGCACAAGGCGAGAUCAUGUCGUGUGGGUACAACGUACAACCUCUGCAGAGUGUAAAACUAUUCGAAUAGCUGUGUCCACAGUCAUGAACGGCACAUGAUUCUUUCUUGACAUACGGGAUCUGUCUUCUUUCCCUUCCUUCCUCCCUCUCGGACUUCUUGCUGGAACUGAGGAUUUGGGUGAGUGGUCGAGGACCCCCACGUUGUUGGAUAAUGCUUUGAAGAUAGACUUGUUUUUAUCAAAACCUGCCUAUCAAAAGUAUGGCAGUAUUUCCAAUAAAAUCGCUUUUAUGCAAAAGAGCCAUAUAGCCUUCCUUUGAAGCCAACAUAUAGUUAUCAG